RNAcentral lists this ribosomal RNA (429 nucleotides) under Gemmatimonadota bacterium. RNAcentral's name for it is "Gemmatimonadetes bacterium partial 16S ribosomal RNA". It matches the Rfam family "Bacterial small subunit ribosomal RNA", at positions 355 to 776 of the family's 1533-position model. The record is from RNAcentral. Lineage: Bacteria; Pseudomonadati; Gemmatimonadota.
UAGGGAAUCUUCGGCAAUGGACGAAAGUCUGACCGAGCAACGCCGCGUGAGUGAAGAAGGUUUUCGGAUCGUAAAACUCUGUUGUUAGAGAAGAACAAGGACGUUAGUAACUGAACGUCCCCUGACGGUAUCUAACCAGAAAGCCACGGCUAACUACGUGCCAGCAGCCGCGGUAAUACGUAGGUGGCAAGCGUUGUCCGGAUUUAUUGGGCGUAAAGCGAGCGCAGGCGGUUUCUUAAGUCUGAUGUGAAAGCCCCCGGCUCAACCGGGGAGGGUCAUUGGAAACUGGGAGACUUGAGUGCAGAAGAGGAGAGUGGAAUUCCAUGUGUAGCGGUGAAAUGCGUAGAUAUAUGGAGGAACACCAGUGGCGAAGGCGGCUCUCUGGUCUGUACCUGCCGCUGAGGCUCGAAAGCGUGGGGAGCAAACAGG